AGCUGGCGGCGUGCCUAUACAUGCAAGUCGAGCGGACAGAAGGGAGCUUGCUCCCGGAUGUUAGCGGCGGACGGGUGAGUAACACGUGGGUAACCUGCCUGUAAGACUGGGAUAACUCCGGGAAACCGGAGCUAAUACCGGAUAGUUCCUUGAACCGCAUGGUUCAAGGAUGAAAGACGGUUUCGGCUGUCACUUACAGAUGGACCCGCGGCGCAUUAGCUAGUUGGUGGGGUAAUGGCUCACCAAGGCGACGAUGCGUAGCCGACCUGAGAGGGUGAUCGGCCACACUGGGACUGACACACGCCCCAAACUCCUACGGGAGGCAGCAGUAGGAAAUCUUCCGCAAUGAACAAAAGUCUGACGAACCAACGCCGGGUGAGUGAUGAAGGUUUUCGAAUCCAAAACUUCUGUUGUAAGGAAAGAACAGAGCCAAAAGAACCGGUUCCCCCUUGACCGGAACUAAACCAAAAAUCCCGGGUUAUUUCCGAGACAGCAGCCGCGGUAAGUACGUAGGUUGGCAAGCGUUGUCCGGAAUUAUUGGGCGUAAAGG
RNAcentral lists this ribosomal RNA (550 nucleotides) under Bacillus sp. (in: firmicutes). RNAcentral's name for it is "bacterial SSU rRNA". It matches the Rfam family "Bacterial small subunit ribosomal RNA", at positions 34 to 566 of the family's 1533-position model. Lineage: Bacteria; Bacillati; Bacillota; Bacilli; Caryophanales; Bacillaceae. The record is from RNAcentral.